UUUAUGGAGAGUUUGAUCCUGGCUCAGGACGAACGCUGGCGGCGUGCCUAAUACAUGCAAGUCGAGCGGACUAAUGGGAGCUUGCUCCNGGGAAACCGGAGCUAAUACCGGAUGACAUAAAGGAACUCCUGUUCCUUUAUUGAAAGAUGGCUUUUAGCUAUCACUUAUAGAUGGGCCUGCGGCGCAUUAGCUAGUUGGUGAGGUAACGGCUCACCAAGGCGACGAUGCGUAGCCGACCUGAGAGGGUGAUCGGCC
RNAcentral lists this non-coding RNA (255 nucleotides) under Bacillus sp. FJAT-25509. Its description in RNAcentral is "partial 16S ribosomal RNA". It matches the Rfam family "Bacterial small subunit ribosomal RNA", at positions 1 to 309 of the family's 1533-position model. Lineage: Bacteria; Bacillati; Bacillota; Bacilli; Caryophanales; Bacillaceae. The record is from RNAcentral.